RNAcentral lists this transfer RNA (69 nucleotides) under Marmota monax (woodchuck). It matches the Rfam family "tRNA". Rfam says of the family: Transfer RNA (tRNA) molecules are approximately 80 nucleotides in length. Their secondary structure includes four short double-helical elements and three loops (D, anti-codon, and T loops). Further hydrogen bonds mediate the characteristic L-shaped molecular structure. tRNAs have two regions of fundamental functional importance: the anti-codon, which is responsible for specific mRNA codon recognition, and the 3' end, to which the tRNAs corresponding amino acid is attached (by aminoacyl-tRNA synthetases). tRNAs cope with the degeneracy of the genetic code in two manners: having more than one tRNA (with a specific anti-codon) for a particular amino acid; and 'wobble' base-pairing, i.e. permitting non-standard base-pairing at the 3rd anti-codon position. The record is from Rfam by way of RNAcentral. Lineage: Eukaryota; Metazoa; Chordata; Mammalia; Rodentia; Sciuridae.
GGGGCUAUAGCUCAGUGGUAGAGCACUUACCUAGCAUGUGUGAGGCAUUGAGUUUGAUUCUUAGCACCG